GCGAGAUGUGGCGGGGGUGGGGUGGAAAGAAAGGGGGGUGAAAGGUUGUUCGGAAUGACUGGGCGUAAAGUGCGUGUAGGCGGGGAAGCAAGUCGGGUGUGAAAGCCCGGGGAUGAACUGAGGAAGAGCACUCGAAACUGGGUAGCUUGAGUGCUGGAGAGGAUGGUGGAAUUCUCGGUGUAGAGGUGAAAUUCGUAGAUAUCGAGAGGAACACCAGUGGCGAAGGCGGCCAUCUGGACAGAAACUGACGCUGAGACGCGAAAGCGUGGGUAGCAAACAGGAUUAGAUACCCUAGUAGUC
This 300-nucleotide ribosomal RNA is filed under the name uncultured Pyrobaculum sp. RNAcentral's name for it is "bacterial SSU rRNA". The stretch from base 52 to 300 matches the Rfam family "Bacterial small subunit ribosomal RNA", at positions 547 to 795 of the family's 1533-position model. The record is from RNAcentral. Lineage: Archaea; Thermoproteati; Thermoproteota; Thermoprotei; Thermoproteales; Thermoproteaceae.